UUGGAGGGCAAGUCUGGUGCCAGCAGCCGCGGUAAUUCCAGCUCCAAUAGCGUAUAUUAAAGUUGUUGCAGUUAAAAAGCUCGUAGUUGAAUUUCGGGAUCAAUAUGUCGGUCGUGCCUUCGGUACGUACUGGCAUCAUUGGUUUCUCCCUUCUGACAAACCAUGAUGUCAUUAAUUUGGUGUUAUGGGGAGUUAGGACUGUUACUUUGAAAAAAUUAGAGUGUUUAAAGCAGGCAUUAGCUUGAAUACAUUAGCAUGGAAUAAUGAAAUAGGACGUUUGACCCUAUUUUGUUGGUUUCUAGGAUCGACGUAAUGAUUAAUAGGGAUAGUUGGGGGCAUUAGUAUUCAAUUGUCAGAGGUGGAAUUCUUGGAUUUAUUGAAGACUAACUACUGCGAAAGCAUUUGCCAAGGAUGUUUUCAUUAAUCAAGAACGAAAGUUAGGGGAUCGAAGACGAUCAGAUACCGUCGUAGUCUUAACCAUAAACUAUGCCGACUAGGGAUCGGAUGAUGUUAAUUUUUUAAUGACUCAUUCGGCGCCUUACGGGAAAC
Molecule: ribosomal RNA, 549 nt
Filed under: uncultured Glomeromycotina
Lineage: Eukaryota; Fungi; Glomeromycota
Description: SSU rRNA
Rfam family: Eukaryotic small subunit ribosomal RNA
Source: RNAcentral